GACUUUAAAUGUUACCAGGAAUGGGGCAUCCAUAGCUUCCCUGGGCAACCUGUGCCACUGUCUCACCACCCUCCCAGUGAAGAAUUUCUUCCUUAUGUCU
Long non-coding RNA from Calypte anna (Anna's hummingbird), 100 nucleotides. RefSeq lists it as uncharacterized. The record is from RefSeq and is a predicted model, not a curated record. The transcript has 3 exons. Lineage: Eukaryota; Metazoa; Chordata; Aves; Apodiformes; Trochilidae.